AUGGCAGAGUGGCGCUGUCCGUAUUUCUACUCGUUGACUCUGCGGGUAGUGAAGACCGCAGAAGCAGCGAUUCAAAGUUUAUGACUAACUUCGCUGAAAACUUUAUCCAAAAUAUGAGAUAUUCACGUCUUUUUAUGUUUAUGGUGAAUGAAACUUGCCAGAUAAAGUUUCAGCCUUCUGAAGCUCAUUAAGAGCCAUUUGCAUUCAUGCAUGGAUGAGGGCAAACUAUCCAACCUCACUUUACUGUGUGUUGAGCGGGACAUAAACACUAAUAAGGACUAAGUGGUUGGCAUGUUUGCCACCGUGAAGGAGAGGAGGAUGAAGUUUUAAAACGGACCGUGAAAUGUACAAAGUUUGUUAAACUGUUCGGAUUAUUUUGUUCCAUGGAGGAUGGAGAAAUACACAAAUGGACUAGCGUUACACUAAACUACAGCAGUCUAAGCAGGGACAACAACUGAACAAGCUUGUCUCAAAGUGGCUUCACUGUAUGUUUCCUGAGACAUAGGCUUGCAUUUAGAAAGGCCCCUUGAGAAUGCUUUGCCCCCUCUGUGCUGAGAGUCCAGCUCCGUCCCUGAAUGAGGCAUAAUAGCAAUGUAGGCUGAAAACUUUGAUCAGAGGUGGUACCACUAUACAGCUGCCGUGACCUCAGAAGGGAUUUAUGGUAGAAUUGAGCACGUUGGGUAUUUUCUCUAAGGCUUCAUCUCAACCAUCGUAGGAGUUAUGAGACUGCAGGAGGCAUGCUUUGAAUAUCAAUGAGGAUUUGGAAGGUUCAUUGUUACUUUGGUUUUGUCUGUUGCUCCUUGACAGGUAUAAUUAUGAGCCAGGCACAGG
Molecule: long non-coding RNA, 831 nt
Organism: Thunnus maccoyii (southern bluefin tuna)
Lineage: Eukaryota; Metazoa; Chordata; Actinopteri; Scombriformes; Scombridae
Exons: 3
Source: RefSeq, a predicted model, not a curated record